GAACUGCGAUAAGUAAUGUGAAUUGCAGAAUUCAGUGAAUCAUCGAGUCUUUGAACGCACAUUGCGCCCCCUGGCAUUCCGGGGGGCAUGCCUGUCCGAGCGUCAUUGCUGCCCAUCAAGCCCGGCUUGUGUGUUGGGUCGUCGUCCCCCCCGGGGGACGGGCCCGAAAGGCAGCGGCGGCACCGUGUCCGGUCCUCGAGCGUAUGGGGCUUUGUCACCCGCUCGACUAGGGCCGGCCGGGCGCCAGCCGACGUCUCCAACCAUUUUUCUUCAGGUUGACCUCGGAUCAGGUAGGGAUACCCGCUGAACAUAAGC
Molecule: unclassified non-coding RNA, 315 nt
Filed under: plant metagenome
Description: partial contains 5.8S ribosomal RNA, internal transcribed spacer 2, and large subunit ribosomal RNA
Rfam family: 5.8S ribosomal RNA (bases 1-105)
Source: RNAcentral